RNAcentral lists this non-coding RNA (23 nucleotides) under Arabidopsis thaliana (thale cress). The record is from RNAcentral. Lineage: Eukaryota; Viridiplantae; Streptophyta; Magnoliopsida; Brassicales; Brassicaceae.
UGUCCCUCGCAGAAUUUUCGAUA